RNAcentral lists this ribosomal RNA (253 nucleotides) under uncultured bacterium. RNAcentral's name for it is "partial 16S ribosomal RNA". It matches the Rfam family "Bacterial small subunit ribosomal RNA", at positions 524 to 776 of the family's 1533-position model. The record is from RNAcentral.
UACGUAGGGGGCAAGCGUUGUCCGGAUUUACUGGGCGUAAAGAGCGCGUAGGCGGAAGUUUAAGCGGGGCCUGAAAGCCCCCGGCUCAACCGGGGAAGGUGGCUGCGAACUGGGCUUCUUGAGGGGGGUAGAGGAGAGUGGAAUUCCUGGUGUAGCGGUGAAAUGCGUAGAGAUCAGGAGGAACACCCGUGGCGAAGGCGGCUCUCUGGGCCCGCCCUGACGCUGAGGCGCGAAAGCUAGGGGAGCAAACAGG